CCCAUGCCAAUAAUUUCCCCAGGAGACUACUUUCUCCCAUUUCUCUUUUUCUCACUCUCUUGGCCAAACUCUCUCCUCUCCUCCGAAACUCUCUCCUCCUUCUCUCUUCGAUCUCAACACCUUAGAGCGUGAUUCCGGACGAAGUCCAAGAAUUAAAAUUGCUAUACGGAGCACGGGUUUUCCGAAUAUCCAAGAAAAAUCUUGAUCGGACCGCGUGGGAGCUCGGUUGACUUGGUCAAAGGAUCGGGUUUUGCUCAAAACCCAUGAGGUACACUACAGGGACACAGUCUUGGAGGGUGUGAAGUGCAUGCAGACAUCACAAGCUAAAGUUAUAUAUAUAUAUAUAUUGGAAGUACUUGCAUAUCUUCAUAAAACAAAUUGUAUUGUAUUGUUUUCUUUAUUUUUGGAAUACUGUAUCGGUUGGACAAACCUGUGGAUUCGGAAACUGUAAUGUAUUUGGGGGCUAUCGUAUGUACUAUUGCGAGGGUUUGUAUUUAAAAAUGGUAUUGUUAUUUAUGUUGAAAA
Long non-coding RNA from Rhododendron vialii, 525 nucleotides. RefSeq lists it as uncharacterized. Lineage: Eukaryota; Viridiplantae; Streptophyta; Magnoliopsida; Ericales; Ericaceae. The record is from RefSeq and is a predicted model, not a curated record. The transcript is spliced from 2 exons.